RNAcentral lists this ribosomal RNA (253 nucleotides) under uncultured bacterium. RNAcentral's name for it is "partial 16S ribosomal RNA". It matches the Rfam family "Bacterial small subunit ribosomal RNA", at positions 524 to 776 of the family's 1533-position model. The record is from RNAcentral.
AACGUAGGUUCCGAGCGUUAUCCGGAUUUACUGGGCGUAAAGCGCGUUCAGGCGGUUUGGCAAGUCGGGCAUGAAAUCUCUCGGCUCAACCGGGAGAGGUUGUCCGAUACUGUUAGACUUGAGGGCAGUAGAGGGUGGUGGAAUUCCGGGUGUAGUGGUGGAAUGCGUAGAGAUCCGGAGGAAGACCGGUGGCGAAGGCGGUCUGCUGGGCAGUUUCUGACACUGAGGCGCGACAGCGUGGGGAGCAAACAGG